This is a long non-coding RNA of Numida meleagris (helmeted guineafowl), 392 nucleotides long. RefSeq lists it as uncharacterized. The transcript has 2 exons. Lineage: Eukaryota; Metazoa; Chordata; Aves; Galliformes; Numididae. The record is from RefSeq and is a predicted model, not a curated record.
CCUUGAGAGCGAUGGAAAAGUAUUUCAGUUGUUCCAGUGAUCUUUUUGUGAGCCCCUUCGUUGCUUUUACUUUGUGAUUUAUUUUGUGAGGAACUAUAAAUCAGAUGAAAAACGAGUUCUUCUGUGGCUGUUACUUCUAAAUUGUAAAUCUUUCUGUGUUUUACAUUGGAUAAAACUGCAUGCUUGUCCUUGUGAAUUGAACUGUCAGAGAGUUCUGUGUGACCGGAGAACUGAUGUCAGCUAGCGAGACUGCAGUAGCAGUUACUGGAAGAAAUAAGAAAAAAUAAAGCUAGUUGUGUAAGAGUGUUAGUUAACAGUGCAAGGAGAAAUUAAGGAAGAAUGGAACAAGGCUUGAUUAAGAACGAGACAAUGUAAUAAAGCUGUCCCAACUA